AUGGUUGCUGAACAUAACCUAAUAGGAUUAUUCAUUCACAAGAGAAGGCAGAGCGAGUUCAUGAACAACUCAUCGAAAGACAUUACAUGGUUAGUUCGUCAGCAUAUCCAAGAUGGGUGGGAGGAGUACAUAACAGAUGCUCAGAGUUACAAGGAGUUCAAUGAUGUCAGAGGGCAAUGGACACUUGAGAGCAAGGGAUGCCACAAAAUGCUAGGAUGGAGCUUAGAGAGGCCGUUGGAUGAGAGUGUCCUUCUCUGGCAUUUGGCCACGGAUUUCUGCUUCUACUGUACACGCACCUCUCCGGACCAUGCUGAGCGUACCAACCGAUGCAGGCAAAUAUCAAAUUAUAUGGUGCAUUUGUUAUCUGAAAGUCCUGAGAUGCUAUUCCCAGGCAGUCGAAAGCAUCUCUGCCGAGUCGCACAUGCACAACUCAGUGACAUCUUAAAGGGUCAUGUGAUGGAAGAUGAACUUGCUCAGAAAGUGGUUGAUAUCGUGGAGUCUCCACAGGUUUCACAAGGUUGUUUUGUUCGAGAUGCUAGGGUGAUUGCUAAAAGGUUGAUGCGUCUCGGGGAUGAGAACAAGAUGUGGGAGGUGAUACAAGGUGUGUGGAUUGAGAUGCUCUGUUUUUCUGCUGGCAGAUGCCGGGGGUACUUGCAUGCCAAAAGCAUUGGCACCGGCGGGGAGUACCUCUCCAACAUCUGGCUUUUGCUACACUGCACUGGGAUGGAGACGUUCCAGCACAAGCUUCAGAGGACACAAAAGUUUCGAUUGUCCAAGGAGAAGACGCGGCGGUACCGUGGGAGCCGAGAAGAUGCUGCCGCUCCAUCUACUUCUCAAGGCAUGAAUCUUCCCACAAAGGAUGGAAAUUUUGCCGGUCCACUGGCUUCCCUAAGUGAAGGCACCUCUCCUGAUGAGCUCACGUCUUUCCUUGCUCAAACAAGAUGGUCUCGUGUUAGCAUACAGUACAUUAUUCAUAUUGUUGGCCAGGUUUAUAUUAAGAUGUCGCUGACUGGUAUGGAUGAGAUAUUAAAGAUCGAGCACCUAAUCCAUGAUACGACGGGACGCCUCUCCACCGACAACUACUAUAUGGUGUCACAUAUCUCUAGGAGCGUCCUAAUCUCUCUGACCUCCUGCAAGGCAGAGCAGCCAUGCUUCUCUGGAAGGGAGCAUUUGAUACUGGGUCAAUCACCUUGGGCUUCGGCACGCAGUACGCCAUCAAACAUAGGGCUCAUGGACCGCGUCGACCUCGUUAAACACCCAUUGGGCAAAGCUGCAACUAUAGAAGAUCUCGAGGUCAUCCUAUUGAGCAUAGACAUCGACCUUGUCAACCUCCGGUGGUCCCAUUGA
This 1347-nucleotide ribosomal RNA is filed under the name Triticum aestivum (bread wheat). Its description in RNAcentral is "partial small subunit ribosomal RNA". The record is from RNAcentral. Lineage: Eukaryota; Viridiplantae; Streptophyta; Magnoliopsida; Poales; Poaceae.